CAUGCUUUUGACGGGUAACGGGGAAUUAGGGUUCGACUCCGGAGAGGGAGCCUGAGAAACGGCUACCACAUCCAAGGAAGGCAGCAGGCGCGCAAAUUACCCAAUCCCAACAUGGGGAGGUAGUGACAAGAAAUACUGAUAUAGGGUCCUAUAGGAUCUUGUAAUUGGAAUGAGUACAAUUUAAACCCAUUAACGAGGAACAACUAGAGGGCAAGUCUGGUGCCAGCAGCCGCGGUAAUUCCAGCUCUAGUAGCAUACAUUAAAAUUGUUGCAGUUAAAACGCCCGUAGUUGAAGUUUAGGUCCUUAUCAUCUGGUCUGCCUCACCGCUAGUACUGGUAUGAUUGGGCCUUUUUUCUUGGUAAACUGUUAUGCCCUUUAUUGGGUGUGGCAGUGAACUAGGACUUUUACUUUGAAAAAAUUAGAGUGUUUAAAGCAGGCUUUUGCUCGAAUACCUUAGCAUGGAAUAAUGGAAUAUGACGAGUGGUUGUUUUUCAUUGGUUUUCACGACUACCGUAAUGAUUGAUAGGGAUGGUCGGGGGCAUCGGUAUUCGAUC
This 555-nucleotide ribosomal RNA is filed under the name Gloeandromyces streblae. Its description in RNAcentral is "SSU rRNA". It matches the Rfam family "Eukaryotic small subunit ribosomal RNA", at positions 345 to 903 of the family's 1831-position model. Lineage: Eukaryota; Fungi; Ascomycota; Laboulbeniomycetes; Laboulbeniales; Laboulbeniaceae. The record is from RNAcentral.